GGGGAAUAUUGGACAAUGGGGGCAACCCUGAUCCAGCCAUGCCGCGUGUGUGAAGAAGGCUUUCGGGUUGUAAAGCACUUUCAGUAGGGAGGAAAACCUUAUGGUUAAUACCCAUGAGGCUUGACGUUACCUACAGAAGAAGCACCGGCUAACUCCGUGCCAGCAGCCGCGGUAAUACGGAGGGUGCAAGCGUUAAUCGGAAUUACUGGGCGUAAAGCGCGCGUAGGUGGUUUGGUAAGCGAGAUGUGAAAGCCCCGGGCUUAACCUGGGAACGGCAUUUCGAACUGUCAGACUAGAGUGUGGUAGAGGGUAGUGGAAUUUCCUGUGUAGCGGUGAAAUGCGUAGAUAUAGGAAGGAACACCAGUGGCGAAGGCGGCUACCUGGACCAACACUGACACUGAGGUGCGAAAGCGUGGGGAGCAAACAGG
Molecule: ribosomal RNA, 428 nt
Filed under: uncultured bacterium
Lineage: Bacteria
Description: bacterial SSU rRNA
Rfam family: Bacterial small subunit ribosomal RNA
Source: RNAcentral